AAGCGGAGGAAAAGAAACCAACAGGGAUUGCCCUAGUAACGGCGAGUGAAGCGGCAACAGCUCAAAUUUGAAAUCUGGCCUUCGGGUCCGAAUUGUAAUUUGCAGAGGAUGCUUUUGGCGCGGUGCCUUCCGAGUUCCCUGGAACGGGACGCCUUAGAGGGUGAGAGCCCCGUACGGUUGGACACCAAGCCUCUGUAAAGCUCCUUCGACGAGUCGAGUAGUUUGGGAAUGCUGCUCUAAAUGGGAGGUAAAUUUCUUCUAAAGCUAAAUACCGGCUAGAGACCGAUAGCGCACAAGUAGAGUGAUCGAAAGAUGAAAAGCACUUUGAAAAGAGGGUUAAAUAGCACGUGAAAUUGUUGAAAGGGAAGCGUUUACGGCCAGACCUUUUCCUGGCGGAUCAUCUGGUGUUCUCACCGGUGCACUUCGUCAGGUUUAGGCCAGCAUCGGCUUCUGUAGGGGGAUAAAAGCAGUGGGAAAGUAGCUCCUCCGGGAGUGUUAUAGCCCUAAGCAUAAUACCCUUGCGGGGGCCGAGGACCGCGCUUUUGCAAGGAUGCUGGCGUAAUGGUCGUCAACGACCCGUCUUGAAACACGGACCAAGGAGUCGAACAUUUGUGCGAGUGUUUGGGUGUUAAACCCUCACGCGUAAUGAAAGUGAACGGAGGUGAGAGCCCUUUAGGGUGCAUCAUCGACCGAUCCUGAUGUCUUCGGAUGGAUUUGAGUAAGAGCAUAACUGUUCGGACCCGAAAGAUGGUGAACUAUGCGUGGAUAGGGUGAAGCCAGAGGAAACUCUGGUGGAGGCUCGCAGCGGUUCUGACGUGCAAAUCGAUCGUCAAAUCUGCGCAUGGGGGCGAAAGACUUAUCGAACCAUCUAGU
Molecule: ribosomal RNA, 873 nt
Filed under: Camillea hyalospora
Lineage: Eukaryota; Fungi; Ascomycota; Sordariomycetes; Xylariales; Graphostromataceae
Description: partial large subunit ribosomal RNA
Rfam family: Eukaryotic large subunit ribosomal RNA
Source: RNAcentral